UGCAUCGGCCGGGAAUCGAACCCUGGCCGCCCGCGUGGCAGGCGAGCAAUCUACCACUGAACCACCGAUGC
Molecule: transfer RNA, 71 nt
Filed under: Cordylochernes scorpioides
Lineage: Eukaryota; Metazoa; Arthropoda; Arachnida; Pseudoscorpiones; Chernetidae
Description: tRNA-Gly
Source: RNAcentral